CUGAAAACCAAGUGAGGAGAUGGAGGAGCGGAUUGGAGUGGUCUGGAGGGAAGUUCUCCCAGCUGCUCAGGAGAGGGCAGGUUUGAUCAUCCUUUCCACAUUUUUGCCUGAAGACCCUUUACAGUUAUGUCUCACUCUCAUGUGCUGGGCUCCAUGCUCGUGAAUGGAGGUGUGCUCAUGGAGCUGCCUUCUCCUGUGGUUAUCCACAAUUCUCAACGAAAUGUGAAGGGUUGCACUGUACUACACCAGAGAAUACCGAGAGGAUAGACACUGCGGAUAGAUCCUGACCAUCACCCAAGGAGCAACUGCACAACUGUGGGAAGACAUCCAGUCUCUUAGCAGCGUUGCUCAACACAGAGAAGAUUGGGCAGUGAGACUAUCAUUUGGAAACCGGUCGGGUCAGAGCAGCUUUCUAAUCUUGACUCUAAUCUCCAGCAUCUGCAGUACCCACUUUCGCCAGCUUUGACAUAUCGUCGGAUCUGAACCUGGUCGGUGGUGUGGAGCCUUCCAUCAGAACGAAACUUUAAGCAGGUUUGGCUGUGAGUGAUCGGUCAGGGUGAGGCUAGGAAGAAGUGUUAGUGGCUCCAAGUGUGGUGAGAGCUUCAAUCACUCAUCAAGCCUCAUGAACAAGUGAUUCAGUCCUAUAGAUGAAAGACUAUUCAAGUGUGAGGUGUAUGAGGAGGACUCCACAGGCUCAUGUAAUCCUCUAACACACAAGAUUAUGUGUAGUACAGCAACAUGGAAGAAAAACCAUUUAAGUGUGAGGUGUGUGCCAAAGCCUUUGCACAAUCAUCAACCCUUCUGAUGCAUCACCGCAUUCACACAGGGGAGAAACCAUUCCUUUGCGAAGUGUGCAACAAAUCAUUCGCACAGUCUUCACAUCUCCGCUCACACCAACGCAUCCAUACAGGGGAGAAACCGUACAAUUGUGAGAUAUGCAACAAGUAUUUCUCACAGUCAUCCCAUCUUCGCUCACACCAACGCAUUCACACUGGAGAGAAGCCAUUCACAUGCGAGGUGUGCAAUAAAUCAUUCUCGUUGUCAUGGGCUCUCCUUGAACACCAACCUAUUCACACAGGGGAGAAACCCUUCACAUGUGAGGUGUGUGAGAAAUCAUUCUCACAGUCCUCUGGCCUUCGUGCACAUCAGCGCAUCCACACUGGGCUGAAGCCAUUUACAUGUGAAGUAUGUGACAAAUCAUUCACACGAUUCUCGUACCUCCGUGUACACCAACGUAUGCACACAGGGCAGAAACUUUUCAAAUGCGAGGUAUGUGACAAAGCUUUCACACGGUCAUCAGGCUUAAUGGCCCACCAGAGGCUCCACACAGGUGAGAAACCCUUUAAGUGUGAGGUGUGUGAUGAAGCUUUUCCAAUAUCAGCAAGGCUGCUGAGACACCAGAGGAUUCAUACAGGGGAGAAACCUUUCAGAUGUGAGGUGUGCGGGGCUGCAUUCUACCGAUCCUCUAAUCUCCUCACACAUCAGAAAAUUCACACGGGGGAGAAACCAUUCACGUGCGAGGUGUGUGGCAAAUCAUUCUCCAGGUCAUCUUACCUUCUGGUCCAUCAGAGGAUCCACACAGGAAAGUAACCCUGUCAAUGUGAAGUCUCCACUGAAGCUUCCGUGGCAUCAUUGAGGAUUGACAUGAGUGCAAUGUUUGUGGACUCAUGGUUGGGUCUUGUGAUUUCAUGGUGCUAGCUGUGUUUUCAUCACUGAUUGAACAAGUCGAUGAUCAGUAUAUCAUCAACAGCCCCCAUCAUGGAUCAAGUGAUACAGACAGCCCUUAGAACUUUGACUUGAGUUUCAAGCUGCCAAAGGAACCUCUGGCAUGGUCUUUGUACUGGGGAAAGGCAAGGAAAAUGUUGAGAGCAAGACCAGGAAUUGUUCAUUAUGUUCCUCAAUGUGACCAAAGUAUUUGAGUCAGUAAAUCACAAGGUUGUGUAGACUGUGCUCCGAUGAUUUGGAUGUCAAAGAAAGUUCGGUCCAAUCCUGCAAGAGCUUCAUGAUGAAGUGAUGUGACUGUAACUGUAAUAAGUGUGAGAUCUGAAAACAAACAUUCAAAAUCCACUAGUGUCAAACAAGGCAGUGUGAUAGUGCCCAUUCUAUUUACAGUCUACCUGACAGUGACUAUUCACCUCAUCAAAGACCCCCUGCCCUGUGCUGUCAGUGUUAAAUGUCAUUUUGGUGUGAAACUAAUUUAUCUCAAUCCUUUCUGUGCCAAACUGAAACUGAACACCAUAGAUAAACGUGAUCACCAGUUUGCAGUGCCUGGAAAGAUGGGGGUCUGUAUGGAGAAAGAGAUGGGAACCACAUUGUCUACUCCUGCUCAUGACUGUAAAGGCCGCAUUUUAAAAAAAUUUGAAUUGUGGACUAAGUAUUUUGUACAGAAGACUGUAUUUGUAUCAUUGUGGAUUCCAACAUUCACAAUAGGUAUCAAAUUACUUCCAAAACAUGCAGCCAUCAUUGUAAAUGGUUUAAAACAGUUCUUUCUCAUUUCAGUCUACAGUUUUAGAAGGUACAAGAAAUAUAAUAGACACAUUACUGGAACGGUGUUUACACAUACUUUAUUCAAGCAGCGGAGAUGUUGAGACUCCAGCAUUGUGGGUAUUGUCAUGACUCAGCACACUGGAAAUUAAGGCCCACUAUUCCCAUAGUCAUCACAGAAUUAGAAUGUUUAGAAAGUAUGCAAGUUUUCUCCAAUUUAUCUAAUUUUCAGACUCCAAUUGACAGAAAACAGAUCAAGUUUAACACAAAUUACUAUUUAAUGCAACUAAUUAGUCUAGGUGCAGGUAUGAACCAUUAGCAAAGAUCUCUAUGAACUAAAGUGCUAAUCCCCUUAUAUAUACACCCCAUUACAGAUACUCAGACAGACAGACAGGAAAGAAAUCAUGGGUGCUAUGGACAGUGGAAAACUGGGAAGUCAGUUUAUUGUCCUUCUCCAUAGGAUCUGCAGAGAUGGUUCUGGUGCUGCUCAGAACGCUGCUUCUAGGCCUUCCCUUUCAUUGCUUUGACUUGUUUUCAAGAGGCAAGGGGUAGCUGGUUCUCUUAUUGUCUAAAGUUUUAGCUGCCAGAAACUACUGAAGGAAAGAGAACCUUUUUUUUCCAGACUUAAAUUCAUCCAGAGAGAGAGAGAGAAACAGACAGAGAGACCCCAUCUACCAACCCUUAAAAUAAGGAGCAGGAAGUGACUUCAC
Molecule: RNA transcript, 3194 nt
Organism: Chiloscyllium plagiosum (whitespotted bambooshark)
Lineage: Eukaryota; Metazoa; Chordata; Chondrichthyes; Orectolobiformes; Hemiscylliidae
Source: RefSeq, a predicted model, not a curated record